This 495-nucleotide ribosomal RNA is filed under the name uncultured bacterium. RNAcentral describes it as "bacterial SSU rRNA". It matches the Rfam family "Bacterial small subunit ribosomal RNA", at positions 899 to 1397 of the family's 1533-position model. The record is from RNAcentral.
ACUCAAAUGAAUAGACGGGGGCCCGCACAAGCAGUGGAUUAUGUGGUUUAAUUCGAAGCAACGCGAAGAACCUUACCAGGGUUUGACAUCCAACUAACGAAGCAGAGAUGCAUUAGGUGCCCUUCGGGGAAAGUUGAGACAGGUGGUGCAUGGUUGUCGUCAGCUCGUGUCGUGAGAUGUUGGGUUAAGUCCCGCAACGAGCGCAACCCUUAUUGCUAGUUGCUACGCAAGAGCACUCUAGCGAGACUGCCGUUGACAAAACGGAGGAAGGUGGGGACGACGUCAAAUCAUCAUGCCCCUUAUAUCCUGGGCUACACACGUAAUACAAUGACAUUUAACAGAGGGAAGCUAAGCCGCGAGGUGGAGCAAAUCCCUAAAAGGUGUCUCAGUUCGGAUUGCAGGCUGCAACUCGCCUGCAUGAAGUCGGAAUUGCUAGUAAUCGCGGAUCAGCAUGCCGCGGUGAAUACGUUCCCGGGCCUUGUACACACCGCCCGU